UUUGGUUUAGGGUUUAAGGUUUGGUUAGGAUUUGAUUUAGGAUUUAGGAUUUAGUUAGGAUUUAAUUUAAGGUUAGGAUUUAGUUAGGGUUUGAUUUAGGAUUAGGAUUUGGUUAGGGUUUGAUUUAGGAUUAAGAUUUGAUUUAAGAUUUAGGAUUUGGUUUAGGGUUGGUUAGGAUUUGAUUUAGGAUUUAGGAUUUGAUUAUGAUUAGAUUUAAGAUUUAGGAUUUAGUUUAAGUUUUAGGAUUUGAUUAGGAUUUGAUUUAAAAUUUAGGAUUUUAUUUGAAUUUAUUUAGGAUUUAAGAUUUAGUUAGUUUUUGGCCUAAAGUUUGAAUGAAGUCCAAUAGGAUUUUUACUAGAAUUAAAUUAAGAUUGAAUUGAGAUGUGUUUGAGAUAUGUUUGUAAAUAUUGUAAUAUUUCUCUAAGAUUUCUUAUUGCUUCUUUAGAAUUCCUUUGAUGUUUUUCUGAAUUUGAUUAAAGCUUGUUUAGCAUUGUUAGUAUUGUAUUAGAAUUUGGUUUCUGUUGUUGGAAUUUUGAUUCUACAUUCCACAGCCAAG
Molecule: long non-coding RNA, 556 nt
Filed under: Physcomitrium patens
Lineage: Eukaryota; Viridiplantae; Streptophyta; Bryopsida; Funariales; Funariaceae
Description: long non-coding RNA (PPAT_LNC012627)
Source: RNAcentral